UAAGAAGGAGCUUUAGAGCGGCUUAAUUUCGACUUAAGUAUUGGGUAAAGUAG
Molecule: transfer RNA, 53 nt
Filed under: Argiope ocula
Lineage: Eukaryota; Metazoa; Arthropoda; Arachnida; Araneae; Araneidae
Description: tRNA-Arg
Source: RNAcentral